RNAcentral lists this ribosomal RNA (100 nucleotides) under Caerostris darwini. The record is from RNAcentral. Lineage: Eukaryota; Metazoa; Arthropoda; Arachnida; Araneae; Araneidae.
AACGGCCAUACCAUGCUGAAUAUACCAGUUCUCGUUAGAUCACCGAAGUCAAGCAUCAUUGGGCGCGGUCAGUACUUGGGUGGGUGACCACCUGGGAAGC